RNAcentral lists this transfer RNA (71 nucleotides) under bovine gut metagenome. It matches the Rfam family "tRNA". From Rfam's summary of the family: Transfer RNA (tRNA) molecules are approximately 80 nucleotides in length. Their secondary structure includes four short double-helical elements and three loops (D, anti-codon, and T loops). The record is from RNAcentral.
GGGUUGUAGCUCAGUUGGUUAGAGCGCCUGCCUGUCACGCAGGAGGUCGCGAGUUCAAGUCUCGUCAAUCC